CUAGGGGCUUGCUCCUAGGUUAGUGGCGAACGGGUGAGUAAUGCAUCGGAACGUACCGUGUAGUGGGGGAUAACCCGGCGAAAGUCGGAUUAAUACCGCAUACGAUCUACGGAUGAAAGCGGGGGACCUUAGGGCCUCGCGCUAUACGAGCGGCCGAUGUCGGAUUAGCUAGUUGGUGAGGUAAAGGCUCACCAAGGCGACGAUCCGUAGCGGGUCUGAGAGGAUGAUCCGCCACACUGGGACUGAGACACGGCCCAGACUCCUACGGGAGGCAGCAGUGGGGAAUUUUGGACAAUGGACGCAAGUCUGAUCCAGCCAUGCCGCGUGAGUGAAAGAAGGCCUUCGGGUUGUAAAAGCUCUUUUGUCAGGGAGCAAAUCCUGCCUGCUAAUACUAGGCCGGGGAUGAAGAGUCCCUGAAGAAUAAGGACCGGCUAACUACCUGCCACAGCCGCGGUAAUACUAGGGUCCAAGC
This 472-nucleotide ribosomal RNA is filed under the name Burkholderia sp. E4IPC-4655. RNAcentral describes it as "bacterial SSU rRNA". It matches the Rfam family "Bacterial small subunit ribosomal RNA", at positions 72 to 539 of the family's 1533-position model. Lineage: Bacteria; Pseudomonadati; Pseudomonadota; Betaproteobacteria; Burkholderiales; Burkholderiaceae. The record is from RNAcentral.